This 253-nucleotide ribosomal RNA is filed under the name uncultured bacterium. RNAcentral's name for it is "partial 16S ribosomal RNA". It matches the Rfam family "Bacterial small subunit ribosomal RNA", at positions 524 to 776 of the family's 1533-position model. The record is from RNAcentral.
UACGGGGGGGGCAAGCGUUGUUCGGAAUUACUGGGCGUAAAGGGCUCGUAGGCGGCCAACUAAGUCGGAUGUGAAAUCCCCAGGCUUAACUUGGGAACUGCAUCCGAUACUGGAUGGCUUGAAUCCGGGAGAGGGAUGCGGAAUUCCAGGUGUAGCGGUGAAAUGCGUAGAUAUCUGGAGGAACACCGGUGGCGAAGGCGGCAUCCUGGACCGGCAUUGACGCUGAGACGCGAAAGCGUGGGGAGCAAACAGG